RNAcentral lists this unclassified non-coding RNA (381 nucleotides) under fungal sp. RNAcentral's name for it is "partial internal transcribed spacer region". The stretch from base 1 to 46 matches the Rfam family "Eukaryotic small subunit ribosomal RNA", at positions 1786 to 1831 of the family's 1831-position model. The record is from RNAcentral. Lineage: Eukaryota; Fungi.
AAGUCGUAACAAGGUUUCCGUAGGUGAACCUGCGGAAGGAUCAUUAACACGUAUCCAAACGUUAAACCCCCCUGUGAACCUUCAGUGUACUCGUACGUCCGUUAGAAAAAGCAGCAAUCCCUGGUAAAUCAUCGCCGAACAGUUUUCGAUUCAGGGACGUCUGCAAGGAGCGUGCAUGUUGUGCGAAGCAAGUGGCCUGGCAUCCCCAAGCAGUUAGUGUCUGAAAGUGUCAUUAACUGUGUAAGGAUGACGCAGUCACGAUCGUUGGAGGCCCACACGGCCGACGACCGGGUCACUGGGCGCAAGCCCCCCUAUAACAAACGCUGCUAAUCGCGGCCGCGAUAAUACGCAGUCGACCAAAAACCGAACAUCUUGGUUCUC